Molecule: ribosomal RNA, 405 nt
Filed under: Rotifera sp. MM00112
Lineage: Eukaryota; Metazoa; Rotifera
Description: SSU rRNA
Rfam family: Eukaryotic small subunit ribosomal RNA
Source: RNAcentral
CAAUAGCGUAUAUUAAAGUUGUUGCAGUUAAAAAGCUCGUAGUUGGAUCUCGGGUACUGGUAUGUGGUACGCUUUACUGCUGUUACUACAUGUCUGGUCCUAAUCAAUCGGUUGGCCGUUGAUGUCCUUCAUUGGGUGUUUUCGGUAGCCGGUACGUUUACUUUGAGAAAAUUAGAGUGCUUAAAGCAGGCUAUACGCCUGAAUAAUGUUGCAUGGAAUAAUAGAAUAGGACCUCGGUUCUAUUUUGUUGGUUUUGUAGAGCAUUGAGGUAAUGAUUAAUAGGGACAGACGGGGGCAUUCGUAUUGCGGUGUUAGAGGUGAAAUUCUUGGAUCGCCGCAAGACGAACAACUGCGAAAGCAUUUGCCAAGAAUGUUUUCAUUAAUCAAGAACGAAAGUUGGAGGUU